RNAcentral lists this ribosomal RNA (430 nucleotides) under uncultured Geobacter sp. RNAcentral describes it as "bacterial SSU rRNA". It matches the Rfam family "Bacterial small subunit ribosomal RNA", at positions 94 to 526 of the family's 1533-position model. Lineage: Bacteria; Pseudomonadati; Thermodesulfobacteriota; Desulfuromonadia; Geobacterales; Geobacteraceae. The record is from RNAcentral.
AGUGGCGCACGGGUGAGUAACACGUGGAUAAUCUGCCUGGCGAUUCGGGAUAACACUUCGAAAGGGGUGCUAAUACCRGAUAAGCCCACGGACUCUUAGGGGUUUGCGGGAAAAGGGGGCCUCUGUAUAUGCUCCUGUCGCUAGAUGAGUCCGCGGCCCAUUAGCUAGUUGGUAGGGUAAUGGCCUACCAAGGCGACGAUGGGUAGCUGGUCUGARAGGAUGAUCAGCCACACUGGAACUGAGACACGGUCCAGACUCCUACGGGAGGCAGCAGCGAGGAAUCUUGGGCAAUGGGCGAAAGCCUGACCCAGCGACGCCGCGUGAGGGAUGAAGGCCUUCGGGUCGUAAACCUCUUUUGUGAGGGAAGAAGUUCUGACGGUACCUCACGAAUAAGCCACGGCUAACUACGUGCCAGCAGCSGCGGUAAUAC